CUUUCAGAAGGAUAAUCUGAUUAUUAGAAAAUUCUUUUUUCUUUUUCUUGCAAGCAUUGGAACUUGGAUGUGACAUAAAGAGGCUAAUUAAAAUGGGGAACAAAUUAGAUUAAUUUCCACGGAUAUAAAAGUGAUAUAAAAGUCUUGUUCUCAGCAGUGACUCCAUAAUAGAACAAUUUCAUUUAUGCCUAAGCAGGUCCUUAUUCUGUCUAGUGAGGAUUGCCACCAGUGUCUUACUGACAAGGUUUUUAUUAUUUCUUUGACAGUUUGAUAGUAAGUCAGUGCUUGCUUCUGGGUUUUCAGUCUCUUCAAACCUGGAUUAUGAAGGCUACUAUAAAAAUAUGGAUAAAAUGCUACCUCCCCAGAGCCCCAUCCGUUAUGGCCUGCACCCCAAUGUGGAGAUUGCUUUUGUAAUAACUGCAAACAACAUGCUCCAUAUGCUAUUAGAGCUGCAAUUCAAAUACUCAGUCACUGGGAAAGGAGUCUCCCAAGCUGUGGAAGACAAGAAGUGGAUACACAAGACACUUGCCUCAUGCAAUGUGGUAUCUCUUGAGGAUGAAGGCAGAGCUAGAUGACAUAGAGAAAAAAAAAAUCUUUCAGAAGUGAGAUCAGCUAUUUAAUCCAAACACCAGAAGAAUGCUACUCACAUAAGCUGAUUUGUUUUCCAGAAUAUGAGGCUGGAUCUACUCAUAUAUGAGGAAGCAAAAUGCAAAGCCCUUGAUUAUGGUCUGACUCCUGUUCCAGUGCAGACAUGGAGGGUGAGUUGGCAAUCUCCUCAGAGAUGGAGCAACUACAGACAGCUCUUUUUUUUGAUAAUCUUCCUGACACUUGGAUGAGACUGGCUUAUCCAUCAACAUACAGUUGCUCAGUGGAGCCUCCUGAGUAAGGCAAAGAGCCACUGACUGAUGGAGUGAACGAGGACUGGAGAGCUGACCAAAGGACAGGAAAGCUCUGCCAAGCACAAAGACAGGUAGCACUAGAAGGCAAAACAAGCCCACUCUUCUGAGAUCAGUACAGACUUCUGAGAGAUCAAAAGUGGAAGAAGAAAUCUUGUUCAUCAGAAGACACAUUGAGAAGAGCAUCAGAGGUGAGAAAGGGAUAGCUGUCAACAGGAUGUGGAUGAAAGCACCAGUAACUCAUUUGGAAAAGAUCUAGCACCAGAAUAAAUGUACAACAGCUUACCAGGCUGAGAGAGGACAGGAUCUGCUGGUCUGAACGAUGGUUUGAUCUGUUACGAUGGGAGUGAAGUCUUCAGUUUGAAAAAUAUUAUUCUGCUUCCUGGGUCUGCAAAAGACAGGACCAGACUGCAAGGGAAAGCCUGGAGAGGAUUUCCAUGCUUUAAAAAGAGAAACAGGGGAAGACUGAAUUUCUUGAGGUCACUGAGGAAACGCAUGGCAGCGCUAGGAAAAGAAGCACUCGAGCAGCCGAGAUACCAUCUUCACAGCCAAAACCAGAUGGGUUUUCUCUGCAGUAUGACAUAACAGCAAAGACAGAGCAGUUUAACCAUUCCGGUGCAGUGAACAACUUCCGCGCUGCUGUGAGCUUGACUCCUAGCCUCAAGAUCUCACCCUCCCUAGUGUUGUCUGGAUAUCAAUUUUUUUCAACCCCCAGUCCUUCCUCACAGAUGUGGAGGAACCUCAAUCUCACCAACACUGGAUGAAAAAUACCUGUGUUUCCAGAUAGGCUGUCAAACAAAGCAUAACCUCCCUCAUCUCAGUAGUGGUGGGAUUUGGUGGCACUUGCUGAAUGAUCUUCACACAAAGAGCAACUACAAGACAGCUUCUCUCCCCUGUUUGUAUUUUCCCAGAAACGCACUAACCACAGCACUGCAGAGCUCAGUACAACUACAGGUAAAAGUAGUAGCAACCGUGCCCUGGUCUACCACUUCUAGUACCUCUCUUCUCUCCAAUGACUUUUCUGAGGGAUAAAGUCCACAUGGUUAAGAUGCCGUGCAAACACCAAGAAAUCAUUGCUCAGAAAUUGAGGCAGAAAAAGGUUGAGGUGUUUUUAACUGUGGAGAAGAGCUGAGUGUUUUAUGCAAACUGACCCAUUUAUCAUAGGGACUUCUGAGAAUCCCUUUUACAAAAUCCAUGUUGUCUUGCAUAUUGUACAGCAAGCUGUGGCAUACUGGGAGGUGCAAAGGAACGCAGCAAAGGUUCUCUUACAGGAAUCACAUUUCCCCAUGGAUUCCAAUAUGUUAAAAGUAUAAUGUGACAUCUGUACAGGGGAAACCAGAAGCUAGAUUUCAGCAGUCAGGCUUAAUUACCAACUUAGUUAAGCCUGAUAACAGCCAAAAUGCUCAUCUCAUCCAUAACUUUUCUUCAGAACUGGAAAAAAAAAUCAGAUGCUAGACAUGAGAUUUUGGAAACUGGAAAACCAGGUGAGAAUUAAAAAAAAGUAACUAACAGACUGCAAUACUCUCAACUCCCUUGCAUCAGCUAUAAUGCAUAAUAUACUUAAUAGCGAGCCUAAAAAAUAAACUAAUUCUGCUUGCAAGGAGAAAGAAUGUGUAUCUCCAG
Molecule: long non-coding RNA, 2519 nt
Organism: Lepidothrix coronata (blue-crowned manakin)
Lineage: Eukaryota; Metazoa; Chordata; Aves; Passeriformes; Pipridae
Exons: 9
Source: RefSeq, a predicted model, not a curated record